RNAcentral lists this ribosomal RNA (482 nucleotides) under uncultured bacterium. RNAcentral describes it as "partial 16S ribosomal RNA". It matches the Rfam family "Bacterial small subunit ribosomal RNA", at positions 30 to 507 of the family's 1533-position model. The record is from RNAcentral.
AUUGAACGCUGGCGGCAUGCUUUACACAUGCAAGUCGAACGGUAACAGGCCGCAAGGUGCUGACGAGUGGCUAACGGGUGAGUAAUGCAUCGGAACGUGCCCAGUCGUGGGGGAUAACUACUCGAAAGAGUAGCUAAUACCGCAUACGAUCUAUUGAUGAAAGCGGGGGGCCGUAAGGCCUCGCGCGAUUGGGAGGGCCGAUGUCAGAUUAGGUAGUUGGUGGGGUAAAGGCUCACCAAGACAACGAUCUGUAGCUGGUCUGAGAGGACGACCAGCCACACUGGGACUGAGACACGGCCCAGAGUCCUACGGGAGGCAGCAGGGGGGAAUUUUGGACAAUGGGCGCAAGCCUGAUCCAGCAAUGCCGCGUGCAGGAAGAAGGCCUUCGGGUUGUAAACUGCUUUUGUACGGAACGAAACGGCUCUGGUUAAUACCCGGGGCUAAUGACGGUACCGUAAGAAUAAGCACCGGCUAACUACGUG